This is a long non-coding RNA of Eubalaena glacialis (North Atlantic right whale), 136 nucleotides long. RefSeq lists it as uncharacterized. The transcript is spliced from 3 exons. Lineage: Eukaryota; Metazoa; Chordata; Mammalia; Artiodactyla; Balaenidae. The record is from RefSeq and is a predicted model, not a curated record.
UUAACAACUCUGUUAGACUGACUGAACACGUGCUACCCCAGGAGAAGCUCCACGAUGAGUUAGCCUGAGAGCACAGAUGGAGGAAAGUUUAAGUUCCACUCUACCUGUCUUCAAGAGAAAAAAUUAUGUUAUUCCA